This 253-nucleotide ribosomal RNA is filed under the name uncultured bacterium. RNAcentral describes it as "partial 16S ribosomal RNA". It matches the Rfam family "Bacterial small subunit ribosomal RNA", at positions 524 to 776 of the family's 1533-position model. The record is from RNAcentral.
UACGUAGGGGGCUAGCGUUGUCCGGAAUCAUUGGGCGUAAAGCGCGUGUAGGCGGCCCGGUAAGUCCGCUGUGAAAGUCGGGGGCUCAACCCUCGGAUGCCGGUGGAUACUGUCGGGCUCGAGUACGGAAGAGGCGAGUGGAAUUCCUGGUGUAGCGGUGAAAUGCGCAGAUAUCGGGAGGAACACCGGUGGCGAAGGCGGCGACCUGGGUCGAUACUGACGCUGAGGUGCGAAAGCGUGGGGAGCGAACAGG